RNAcentral lists this long non-coding RNA (365 nucleotides) under Elaeis guineensis (African oil palm). RNAcentral describes it as "long non-coding RNA (EGUI_LNC013049)". The record is from RNAcentral. Lineage: Eukaryota; Viridiplantae; Streptophyta; Magnoliopsida; Arecales; Arecaceae.
GAAAUGUAUUUAUUUAAUUAAUAUUAUUUUUAAGGCUUUAAUUUUGUAAGAUCUAACGGUUGUUUAGUUGUAUUAUUUUUAUUUAUUUAUUUAUUUAUUGAUAGAAAGGAACAGCUUUAUUUAAGAUGAUCCAAUAGAUGCAGACCAUACACCAACCACGUUGCCUGAUACAUAGAAGAGAAACUAUGACAUGAAUAAAGACAAGACAAACCAAAAUAUAUAAAUAACAUAAGGAGUAGAAGACACUUGUAAGCAAACAUAUUUAAUAUUGACAUACAGAACAUGAGCAAAACUGAAAAGCUGAGUGACAGAUUAGCCAGUGCCAGUAGAUAGCAUGAGCACCGUCGAUGAAGUGGAGGAGCCAA